This is a small nuclear RNA of Lynx canadensis (Canada lynx), 108 nucleotides long. NCBI's taxonomy places the organism in Eukaryota, Metazoa, Chordata, Mammalia, Carnivora, Felidae. The record is from Ensembl.
GUACUCACUUCAGCAACACAUACAUUUUAAAAAGUGGGAAAGAUACAGAGAUUAGCAUGGUCCUUGUGAAAGAAUGACACACAAAUUUCUAAAGUGUUCCAUAGUUUU